UUAUGGUUGCUCAGUUUCUUCAGAAAGCAACUCAUGGAGAAGUACAAACCACAGUUAGAAAGUUGAGAGAUUUCAAUGAGAAGCACAGGACCUUUAAGUCACAUGGUUACCUUCAGAAUGCACUCACCAAUUGAGCCAGCUUAUAAACUACCCCUGCUCUAAACAGGCUAUCCUAUCCAGCAAGGUCACUCAAUCCUGUGAACAGCCAGUGCCAUUCCAAGGGGAAGGCAUAUUAACUCAGAAAAUGCUGACACACCUGACCUUUCAUCCCUGCCACUCAGCAGUUCUACAGAAGACCAAUUUGUAUGCAAACAAUUCACUUACAAGCCAGAAUUCCUACAAGCAUAAUACAGUUUUUCUGUAAACUCUU
This is a long non-coding RNA of Homo sapiens (human), 370 nucleotides long. Ensembl annotates it as long intergenic non-protein coding RNA 2499. Lineage: Eukaryota; Metazoa; Chordata; Mammalia; Primates; Hominidae. The record is from Ensembl.